AUGGCAUUGCCCCGAGAUCAUCCGGCUGAUAAACGCCCACAACUGGGCCUAAUUUUGAGAGGAUUCUUUUUUUUUUUUUUUUGGGGGGGGGGACAGUUGCUGGAGAGAAUACACGUUGGAGGGGUUCUCCAGGCACCAACAAAACAUGGACCCACAUCUAGGUGCUGGCUGGUUAGCAGAUUUCAGAGGACACUUUCUGUCUCUUGUCAGAAAGUAGCUGAAUGGCUUCAUAGCUGCUUAAUCUGCGGGAUUCUCCGGCAGUCUAAUUCGAUAGAGUGGGGGGAGCCACACCGAGUCACCUCUGGGGUAAGCUGGGGCACGUGGGUCGGUCUCACACAUCCCAUGGGCCUCGUGUUUCCCCGGGUCUGGGCAGAGAUGGCUCUGGCUAGCGGGAGGGAAGGCAGGUGUGUUCCGCUCCGGGGCACAGGGCGCAUUCAUUAGGCCACAGCGUGUGAGUUCCUCCCGUGUCCCAGGCGUGUGUGAGGUGCCCAGGAAAUCACGCUUACCUGACAAACCAGUGGGUAAAUGGACACUUGCAGUUCCACGUCGUGAUACCUACGCGGCGACACAUCCGGGCGCCAGGAAACCUGGAGGAGGGGCUUGGAGGUCCCUGCCAGGCUGCUCCCAAUGGAUGUCGCGGGGCUGUCAUGACGCAGAAGCAGCUAUUUCCCUUCAGAGAGGCGGAACGGCAGUGCCAUCAGGGGGUGUGGCCGGUUUUGGUCACACACUGAUCCCUCAGCGACGUCUGCGUGCAGACCAGGGUGCCUGCAGAGCGCGCUGGGGGAAGCUCGGUGGGGCCGCUUCUGCGUCCUUGCCCCAGGCUUGUGAACGGAGUUCCCCGCUUUUGUUCCCCCGCCACUGACACAGUGCGGGGUUGCCUCCAGGUUGGUUUAAUGACGUGCUGUUUUGCUACUGUGAGCACUCCCUACUUGAGGUGAACGAGAGGAAUGGCUGAACAAUUGCAGAUCCGGCUGUUGCAAAGGUCACGGCACUACGGCACACUGUUUUAAUUCCUGAAUGUUUCAGGCGUUGUAAGUCCUUUCGAGGCUCCAUUCUACUGACAAGCGCUGAAAGGGGGCUGGGAAAGGGCACCGAUUAUUUCAUCUGCUUGUAAACAUGACGGUGAGAGGAGGAGAUGGUGCCCAGUCUAUCCAGCCUUCUGCAGCCUUCACUGGGAGGCCUGUUUUGCACACACCUUCCUGUAAGAAAGCUAACAGGGGUGACCUUGAGGGGUUUACCACAGAGAUAAAGGCGAAACCAGGCUUACUAAAUGAGUGAGCUUUGAACUUUCUCUUCUCCUUAUAUAUUUUCCUACUUCUCAUCUACCAUCUACUCAGUGACCGAUUUACUCUCAGGAAGCUUUCAACUAGAACACUCGUAACUAACAUUGGCCCAGAGUUAGCACUUGACAAAAUGCUCGCGGCAGACACUGUUGAUUAUC
Molecule: long non-coding RNA, 1441 nt
Filed under: Bos indicus x Bos taurus (hybrid cattle)
Lineage: Eukaryota; Metazoa; Chordata; Mammalia; Artiodactyla; Bovidae
Description: lncRNA (ENSBIXG00000022706.1)
Source: RNAcentral